Episyrphus balteatus (marmalade hoverfly) is the source of this 1481-nucleotide long non-coding RNA. RefSeq lists it as uncharacterized. The record is from RefSeq and is a predicted model, not a curated record. Lineage: Eukaryota; Metazoa; Arthropoda; Insecta; Diptera; Syrphidae. The transcript is spliced from 5 exons.
AACAAUGGCUCUCAAAGCGUCCAUAUUAGGUUGAUCAAUUGAAGAGUGAAUGUGAAAAGAUUGCCACUUUGACUUAAAGUAUCGGCAAAGGUGCCGCAACUCCAAUGGCUAGCCCAAAACUUAUUUCGUUCUCACCCAAAGCAACAAAACUCCGCAAUCUUGUCAAAAAAAGGACGACAAAUUGGUUGUCCGUCUUGGUGGCAAUGAAGGACUACAAAAAUUUGAUCUCUCUGGUUUGCUGGUACAGAGAAUCUGAUACGUUCAGACGAAUUAAGCUGGAAAACAAAGGCAAACAUGGAAUUUAAAUACGAACGCAUAAAUGUUGACAAAGAAUUCUUCAAAACACGCUCACAAAUCGGACUCAAUAACCAAACAUAUUUCAUGCACAUAUGCAGGAAAUAUAAAAAUUAUUUAACAACACUUCCAACUAAUGGAUUACAACCUCCUCCAAAUUAUUUAUAUAAGUAAUUCAAUUUCACUUAUGAAUAAAUGGCUAUUUUUUUUAUCAAACUGAAUAUACCAAACAACCUUCGAUGUAGACAAAUUUCUUCAUCAACAAUAACAUCCAUACACCUUAUUUACCAGACCGAAAAUUUCAACUCGAAGUAGGCUAUAAUUAUUGGAACUGUCAAAAAAAUAACAAACAAAAAAAAAUGGAAUAUCAAACCAACUAGAAUUGUGUAAUGCAUCAUUCACGACCGCAUCCGCCUGUUUAGAAAAAAAAUGGAUGUUCUGUACUAAAUCUGCUGGGGCUGCAUUUUCUUUUGUUAAAAAAAAAUGAGGAAUAUGGAGUGAUCUAAAAAGGCAAUUUCUUGGUUUGGGCUUUCAAGGCCAUAUUAGUUGCAUGGGAAAUCACAUUCGCACAUUUGUUUCCAAACGUCAUUAAGUUCCUGUUAGAUGUUCUGAUAUUCGAUGUGAUUUUUUGCAAUUGCAAAUGGGCGAGUAUACGUGAUACCCCUCGACAAAAAUGCAACAAAGCGGACUGUUGCAAUUUACUCCAGAGGACGUUGUAAUUAACUCCAGAGGUUUGAACUAACAUUCGAUGGCUGCUUUCGAAUUCGACACCAAUGAGUUACAACCAAAACAAUAUAUUUUGAUUGGAUGGAAGGUUAAUGACUGUUCGAGUAUUUGUUGCAUCCUCUGUAUGAGACAAAACUACACAUACGCAAUUGAUUCUCUUUGUAUUCGAGAAGGUACUCAAUGUUGAGCCCAUUUUCUUUGCAUUCAGAAUUGCCGAGAGGUUUAUGUCCCCAUCUUUAAGAGUAUACAAAAAACUCUCCAUCUGUUCUCAUCGGUGACGGAGGAAUCAACACUUGCACCAGGUCGUGUAUAUUAAUAUGCUUGUAAGACAAAUGGAGCUUGAACGCUUGUCUUUUGAACCCCAUUUCGCCUGCCAUUUAGUAGAUGGCGCAAACCCACGUAUCUGAGAAAAAACACUUCAAAUUUAUGAUUUUGGUUGCAUUCAUACGUUAUUUUUAUUG